AGAGUUUGAUCCUGGCUCAGGAUGAACGCUGGCGGCGUGCCUAACACAUGCAAGUCGAACGGGGUCAUCAACAUGAAGUUUUCGGAUGGAUUGAUGAUGACUUAGUGGCGGACGGGUGAGUAACGCGUGGGUAACCUGCCCCAUACAGGGGGAUAACAGCCGGAAACGGCUGCUAAAACCGCAUAACAUUGCGCCACCGCAUGGAGGUGCAAUUAAAUAUUUAUAGGUAUGGGAUGGGCCCACGUCUGAUUAGCUAGUUGGCAGGGUAAAGGCCUACCAAGGCGACGAUCAGUAGCCGGCUUGAGAGAGUGACCGGCCACAUUGGGACUGAGACACGGCCCAAACUCCUACGGGAGGCAGCAGUGGGGAAUAUUGCACAAUGGGGGAAACCCUGAUGCAGCGACGCCGCGUGAGUGAAGAAGUACUUCGGUAUGUAAAGCUCUAUCAGCAGGGAAGAAGAUGACGGUACCUGACUAAGAAGCCCCGGCUAACUACGUGCCAGCAGCCGCGGUAAUACGUAGGGGGCAAGCGUUAUCCGGAUUUACUGGGUGUAAAGGGAGCGUAGGUGGUGUGGUAAGUCAGAUGUGAAAGCCCGGGGCUCAACCCCGGGACUGCAUUUGAAACUAUCAUGCUUGAGUACAGGAGAGGUAAGUGGAAUUCCUAGUGUAGCGGUGAAAUGCGUAGAUAUUAGGAGGACACCAGUGGCGAAGGCGGCUUACUGGACUGUAACUGACACUGAGGCUCGAAAGCGUGGGGAGCAAACAGGAUUAGAUACCCUGGUAGUC
This 785-nucleotide ribosomal RNA is filed under the name uncultured bacterium. RNAcentral describes it as "bacterial SSU rRNA". It matches the Rfam family "Bacterial small subunit ribosomal RNA", at positions 8 to 795 of the family's 1533-position model. The record is from RNAcentral.